GUAGGUGGCAAGCGUUGUCCGGAAUUAUUGGGGCGUAAAGCGCGCGCAAGUGGUUCCUUAAGUCUGAUGUGAAAGCCCCCCCGGGCUCAACCGGGGGGAGGAUCAUUGGAAACUGGGGAACUUGAGUGCAGGAGAGGAAAGUGGAAUUCCACGUGUAGCGGUGAAAUGCGUAGAUAUGUGGAGGAACACCAGUGGCGAAGGCGACUUUCUGGCCUGUAACUGACACUGAGGCGCGAAAGCGUGGGGAGCAAACAGGAUUAGAUACCCUGGUAGUCCACGCCGUAAACGAUGAGUGCUAAGUGUUGGGGGGUUUCCGCCCCUCAGUGCUGCAGCUAACGCAUUAAGCACUCCGCCUGGGGAGUACGGUCGCAAAGACUG
RNAcentral lists this ribosomal RNA (378 nucleotides) under uncultured organism. RNAcentral describes it as "partial 16S ribosomal RNA". It matches the Rfam family "Bacterial small subunit ribosomal RNA", at positions 527 to 896 of the family's 1533-position model. The record is from RNAcentral.